AGAGGUUUGUCAUUGUGUUCAGAAAACAUUUUGCAGCGGUCAGUGUGGGCACUCUAACGAAGUACACCUGUUGGUCUUUGAGCUUUUAUUUGUAUCGUUUUCAGAACGUAAAAUGGACAGACGACAAAAUUUUAGCAUUCUUUUGUGAAACAUCAUGACACGGAAACCCACUGGUGCAAAUCCCAAGCUUGUGAGAGAAAUAUUUCAUAACGUCAACCAUCCAUCUUGUAUAUUCUCCACAUGUGAUUCCCAUUUGGUUCAUUCCGAUCACUACGGAAAAUAUUAAGGAGACAAUCCAGCAAAAAUUAUGAAUUUAUGAGCGUACAAAUAUUAGUAGGUAGAAAAAGAAAGAAAGAAAGAAAAAAAAAACAGCAUAUCAGCAAUAUAUGACAAUGAAUCAGUCAUUUAUUUAGAUAUGGGAUGCAAACGUUCGGGUAUAUGCAAUUUCUUAUUGUAAACAUCACAGAAAACUGAUUAAUGUUUUUACUAAAUGUAAAGUAUUGAGUUUUAUAUAAAUCUUUUACUACAAUCAUGUUUUAGGGUUGAAACAUGAGUCAUCGAAUCCAAAUGGAUGAAGGCAUAUGCAUUAUAGUUUUACAUUUCCCAUGUUCUGUUUUGCACAGGGACACCUUUGUUUCCAUGUUUUGAUGUUAUAUAUAUAUAUAUAUACACACACACACACAAAUGGGGAUGUGCCCAAAAGCUUGACUAGUGUGGAAAAUGUUUUGCAGAAAGCUAAUUUGUUUGUGAAUGUUAGAAUAAGUAUCUGCUGGACGUACAGGGUUAAUGUCACUGUCCAAUUCAUCACUAUGUCAAUCUAAUGCAUUAUCAUGUAAAAAACAAACAAACAAACAAAAAAAAAAACAACCACCUGUAUAUCAGCAUCAGAUGCAAAGCACGUGACAUCUUUCUCUGUCAGUGUUGCCGACAUAAGCAUUAUGGGUAUAUCAUUUCAGAGUACCAUGUAUCAAGGGCAGUAUUUAUUACAUUUGUGGAGAUCUGUAUUUUAUUAUCACAUUCUUGAUUUUUGGGUUUUGUCUAUGGUGAAUCCGAAGCACUUUAAAGUCUGAGAAUCACGGAAACCUAAGUAAGGUUUUACAGAAGCUUUUUAAUAACUUGGACAAUGGCAUGUUGUACAGGCCUAAAAUCCUCAAUUAACCGUUGAUGGAUGACUAUAAGAGCAAUCGGUUCCAGAACGAGCGGAAAUGUUGACUGGCAUGACCGGUUGAAAUGACUUCAUGAUGCAUAAGGAAAUAUAUGUGCACUCAAGAGUUGUAGACAGAAAUGCACUUGACCUCAACAUAUUAAACUCCCCAAGCAUGUCCCCGUGUUUUUUUUUUUUUUUUUGGUUUUUUGUUUUUUUUAAAAAAAAUAUCGACAACACAUGCUGGCAUCAAGCAGUAUCGUACUAAUGCUUCAAUUUAGUGGUUUAAGAGUCGGUUGUGUAUACUAAGCAUGAUCUUCAUAAAAUACAUCCGGUUACCAUGCUGUCACCACUAUUCUUAGCUAUUUCCUUUCUUCGUUUAGGCUAGCGCAGCAAUUUUUUAAAGAAAUCACGCCAAGGUGCUAAUCAUUCUCAUGUACCACGCAUUCAAACAGAAUAACAGAUCAGCUUCUUUCUCUUCUCUCCAAAUGCUUUGUGUAUGCAGCUGCCAGUGUAGUAAUGCUUCUAAUAGACUGAUAGCAAAAUUUCCUUUCCUAACCUCCCAUUACUAAUUCAGCAGGAAAAAGGACAAUAAGCACAAUUUUGCUGCUCACCUUUUGUUCGAACAUAUUGUAGUAUCUAAUUAAAAAUGUUAUCUGUAACUAUUUAAAUAGAAAACACUAAGUACAGUAUCACAUGCCUGAAUGCAGAAUACUUUUCUUAUUAUUAAUUGUGAAUUCAUCAGGUUACAAGUUUCCAUUUGAAGAGGACUUCAAUGAAUCAUUUUAAAACAGGAUUUUAUAUUCGAAAAGAAACAUGGCUUUUUCUUAUCUUGCUCUCUAACUCUAGUGCUUUCUUUUUUUUAACUACAUGGCAUGAUUUUGGUUGAUAUGAUACUUUUGGUUGAUAUGAUACUGUAAAUGUUUAAGAUCACAAGUUGCAGUGAUAUUUCAUUCUGAAAUUGUGAACUUUGUACAAUUUUUAUUAUGCUGGUGUUGACAUCUCUUAAUCAAUAAAAACUUGUGUUGCC
Ictalurus punctatus (channel catfish) is the source of this 2174-nucleotide long non-coding RNA. The record is from Ensembl. Lineage: Eukaryota; Metazoa; Chordata; Actinopteri; Siluriformes; Ictaluridae.